UCCACUCUGAGCCGAAGACCACAAGUUCUGUGGUCAGUCUGUACUUUGAGUGGCUUGGACACCAGCCAGCCAACAAGGAAGGCUGUCCCCAGCACUUAGAGUCAGACAGCGUAGAAAAAAUGACCUUGUAAUUGUCCUAUGGACUUCAAGAUUAAGACAGAGAUCUUGCAUUCGAGCAGAGUUUCUCUGAGAAAAUACACACCUCAGUAUUAUGUCCAUAUGCAACACUACUGAGUGGAAAGACCCCUAAAUCCUCUUCUGGACCUAUAUGCAACAUGGGCAGCACAAACGUCCUCAAACUGCUCCGCCAACGUGCUUCAAUUCUGAAUGAGAAGGACCAGCUUUCUGGGUGAGAAAGGAGUCCGUCUCUAUUCAGUCCCUGACCCUUCUGAUCAAGGCUGUUAAUGAAGGGGCCUCAUUAACACCAAAGACAGAGGUCAGGUUUGGCCAAGUGAUGUAACGGUCUGUGUCGUGCCAAUCCCACCAGCUGGCUGGACCCGCCACGAAGAGCAUUUCACAGCCUGGAUUUAUGCAGCACUGAAUAUGAGCUGCCAGCCUGGAGAAGACGGGCCCAGGCACCUAAUGUGCCCGUUGGAGCAAACACAAGCGUGGUUCAACAGGAGGGAGAGAGGUUCACUGCUGAAACGUGUGUCUGCUUUGCAUGUGCCUUCUUGCAGUUGAUGCCAAAGUCAUUGAAAGAUGAUCAUCUGCAUGGUCAGAGAGAGGCCACCUUCAGAGUGGUGACGGUCACCCUCCACGGGAUAGCCUUUAGACGACUGAAAAAUAGAAGGGGAAAAUAGCUUGAAAAAUAGGACAGGACAGGAGAUCAGCAGCAGGAUCUGACUCGUA
Long non-coding RNA from Oxyura jamaicensis (ruddy duck), 849 nucleotides. RefSeq lists it as uncharacterized. The transcript has 3 exons. Lineage: Eukaryota; Metazoa; Chordata; Aves; Anseriformes; Anatidae. The record is from RefSeq and is a predicted model, not a curated record.